CCUACGGGAGGCUGCAGUGAGGAAUAUUGGUCAAUGGGCGGAAGCCUGAACCAGCCAAGUAGCGUGCGGGAUGAAGGCCCUACGGGUUGUAAACCGCUUUUGCACGGGGAUAACACCCUCCACUUGUGGAGGUCUGCAGGUACCGUGCGAAUAAGGGCCGGCUAAUUCCGUGCCAGCAGCCGAGGUAAUACGGAAAGCCCGAGCGUUAUCCGGAUUCAUUGGGCUUAAAGGGAGCGUAGGCGGGCGUUCACGUCAGCUGUAAAAUCGCGCGGCUCAACCGCGCCCCGCAGUUGAAACUGGACGCCUUGAGUACACAACAGGCAGGCGGAAUUCGUGGUGUAGCGGUGAAAUGCAUAGAUAUCACGAGGAACCCCGAUUGCGAAGGCAGCCUGCCGGGGUGCGACUGACGCUGAGGCUCGAAGGUGCGGGUAUCAAACAGGAUUAGAUACCCCAGUAGUC
This 459-nucleotide ribosomal RNA is filed under the name uncultured bacterium. Its description in RNAcentral is "partial 16S ribosomal RNA". It matches the Rfam family "Bacterial small subunit ribosomal RNA", at positions 338 to 795 of the family's 1533-position model. The record is from RNAcentral.